Molecule: ribosomal RNA, 458 nt
Filed under: uncultured Eubacteriales bacterium
Lineage: Bacteria; Bacillati; Bacillota; Clostridia; Eubacteriales
Description: bacterial SSU rRNA
Rfam family: Bacterial small subunit ribosomal RNA
Source: RNAcentral
GCGGUGGAGCAUGUGGUUUAAUUCGAAGCAACGCGAAGAACCUUACCAGGUCUUGACAUCCUCUGGCUUCCCGUGAAAGCGGGAAUUCUGGCCGAAAGGCCAGACAGGGAGACAGGUGGUGCAUGGUUGUCGUCAGCUCGUGUCGUGAGAUGUUGGGUUAAGUCCCGCAACGAGCGCAACCCUUACCUCUAGUUGCCAGCAUUAAGUUGGGCACUCUAGAGGGACUGCCGGUGACAAACCGGAGGAAGGUGGGGAUGACGUCAAAUCAUCAUGCCCCUUAUGUCCGGGGCUACACACGUGCUACAAUGGCCGGUACAGACGGACGCAAAGCCGCGAGGUGGAGCAAAUCCUAAAAAGCCGGUCUCAGUUCGGAUUGCAGGCUGCAAUUCGCCUGCAUGAAGUCGGAAUCGCUAGUAAUCGCAGGUCAGCAUACUGCGGUGAAUACGUUCCCGGGCCUU